GAACUGGUGAGUAACACGUGGGUAACCUGCCCGGAAGCUGGGGAUAACACUUGGAAACAGGUGCUAAUACCGUAUAACAACUGAAACCGCAUGGUUUCAGUUUGAAAGAUGGUUUCGGCUAUCACUUCUGGAUGGACCCGCGGCGUAUUAGCUAGUUGGUGGAGUAAUGGUUCACCAAGGCAAUGAUACGUAGCCGACCUGAGAGGGUAAUCGGCCACAUUGGGACUGAGACACGGCCCAAACUCCUACGGGAGGCAGCAGUAGGGAAUCUUCCACAAUGGACGAAAGUCUGAUGGAGCAACGCCGCGUGAGUGAAGAAGGGUUUCGGCUCGUAAAACUCUGUUGUUGAAGAAGAACACAUCUGAGAGUAACUGUUCAGGUGUUGACGGUAUUUAACCAGAAAGCCACGGCUAACUACGUGCCAGCAGCCGCGGUAAUACGUAGGUGGCAAGCGUUGUCCGGAUUUAUUGGGCGUAAAGCGAGCGCAGGCGGUUUCUUAAGUCUGAUGUGAAAGCCCUCGGCUUAACCGGAGAAGUGCAUCGGAAACUGGGAGACUUGAGUGCAGAAGAGGACAGUGGAACUCCAUGUGUAGCGGUGGAAUGCGUAGAUAUAUGGAAGAACACCAGUGGCGAAGGCGGCUGUCUGGUCUGUAACUGACGCUGAGGCUCGAAAGCAUGGGUAGCGAACAGGAUUAGAUACCCUGGUAGUCCA
RNAcentral lists this ribosomal RNA (711 nucleotides) under uncultured bacterium. Its description in RNAcentral is "bacterial SSU rRNA". It matches the Rfam family "Bacterial small subunit ribosomal RNA", at positions 100 to 797 of the family's 1533-position model. The record is from RNAcentral.